GACGAACGCUGGCGGCGUGCUUAACACAUGUAAGUCGAACGAUGAACCCGGAGCUUGCUCCGGUGGAUUAGUGGCGAACGGGUGAGUAACACGUGAGUAACCCGCCCUUGACUCUGGGAUAACUGCGGGAAACUGUAGCUAAUACCGGAUACGACCCUCGGCGGCAUCGCCAGGGGGUGGAAAGAAUUUCGGUCAAGGAUGGACUCGCGGCCUAUCAGCUAGCUGGUGAGGUAACGUCUCACCAAGGCGACGACGGGUAGCCGGCCUGAGAGGGUGACCGGCCACACUGGGACUGAGACACGGCCCAGACUCCUACGGGAGGCAGCAGUGGGGAAUAUUGCACAAUGGGCGCAAGCCUGAUGCAGCAACGCCGCGUGAGGGAUGACGGCCUUCGGGUUGUAAACCUCUUUUAGUAGGGAAGAAGCGAAAGUGACGGUACCUGCAGAAAAAGCACCGGCUAACUACGUGCCAGCCGCCGCAGUAA
This 484-nucleotide ribosomal RNA is filed under the name uncultured bacterium. Its description in RNAcentral is "partial 16S ribosomal RNA". It matches the Rfam family "Bacterial small subunit ribosomal RNA", at positions 28 to 523 of the family's 1533-position model. The record is from RNAcentral.